GCUCUGCAGGGUUCUCCUGGGUCAGGACAGCUCCUGCUGCUGCUUCUUCUUUUUCUUCUUGGGGGGUGGGGACAGGCAGCAGUUCCUGGGGGGUUCCAGGGCCUCCUGCUCCUGAUUGUUGUGGUCCAAAAAAUUCUGCUCCACAGAAUUCUGUUCCAGAGAAUUCUGCUGCUUCUGCUCCUGCUGGUUCUGUUUCUUCUGCUGUCUCUGCUCCAGCUUUUUCUGCUUCCUCUGCUCCUGGUGAUUCUGCUUUUUCUGUUUCCUCUGCUCCAGAUGUUUCAGCUUUUUUUGCUUCUUCUGCUCCUGAUGCUCCCUCUCCAGAUGUUCCAGCUCCAGAUGAUUCUGCUGCUUCUGCUCCAGAUGUUUCUGUUUCCUCUCUUUCCUCUGCUCCUGAUGCUCCAUUUCCAGAUGUUUCAGCUCUUUCUGCCUCCUCUGCUCCAGCUCCAGAUUCUGCUCCUGAUGUUUCUGCUUUUUCUGCUUCCUUUUCUCCUGAUGCUCCAUCUCCAGAUGAUUCUGCUUCUUCUGUUUCCUCUGCUCCUGAUGCUCCAUCUCCAGAUAAUUCUGCUUUUUCUGUUUCCUCUCUUCCUGAUGUUCUCUCUCCUGAUGAUUCUGCUUUUUCUGCUUCCUCUGCUCCUCCUGCCUCUGCCUGCCACUGCUGCUGCUCCUGCAAGGAAAUUGGGGGUCAGCACCCAAAACAGGGCUGGGGGAGCACCCAAAUCUCCAUCAGGAAUUUUUUGCCAUUUCCAUCGGGAAUAUUUUUCAUUUUCCAUCAGGAAUUUUCUCAAAUUUCCAUCAGGAAUUUUCUCCAAU
RNAcentral lists this long non-coding RNA (810 nucleotides) under Zonotrichia albicollis (white-throated sparrow). RNAcentral's name for it is "lncRNA (ENSZALG00000006247.1)". The record is from RNAcentral. Lineage: Eukaryota; Metazoa; Chordata; Aves; Passeriformes; Passerellidae.